Molecule: ribosomal RNA, 534 nt
Filed under: uncultured Bacillus sp.
Lineage: Bacteria; Bacillati; Bacillota; Bacilli; Caryophanales; Bacillaceae
Description: bacterial SSU rRNA
Rfam family: Bacterial small subunit ribosomal RNA
Source: RNAcentral
AAGUCUGACGGAGCAACGCCGCGUGAGCGAUGAAGGCCUUCGGGUCGUAAAGCUCUGUUGUUAGGGAAGAACAAGUAUCGGAGUAACUGCCGGUACCUUGACGGUACCUAACCAGAAAGCCACGGCUAACUACGUGCCAGCAGCCGCGGUAAUACGUAGGUGGCAAGCGUUGUCCGGAAUUAUUGGGCGUAAAGCGCGCGCAGGUGGUUCCUUAAGUCUGAUGUGAAAGCCCACGGCUCAACCGUGGAGGGUCAUUGGAAACUGGGGAACUUGAGUGCAGAAGAGGAAAGUGGAAUUCCACGUGUAGCGGUGAAAUGCGUAGAGAUGUGGAGGAACACCAGUGGCGAAGGCGACUUUCUGGUCUGUAACUGACACUGAGGCGCGAAAGCGUGGGGAGCGAACAGGAUUAGAUACCCUGGUAGUCCACGCCGUAAACGAUGAGUGCUAAGUGUUAGAGGGUUUCCGCCCUUUAGUGCUGCAGCAAACGCAUUAAGCACUCCGCCUGGGGAGUACGGCCGCAAGGCUGAAACUCAA